GGUUUCUUGGAAAUUUUUAAGAGAUCUGACCUGCCCACUGAAUAUUUUUGAAGGGCCGCGGUAUUUUGACUGUGCAAAGGUAGCAUAAUCAUUAGUCUUUUAAUUGAAGGCUUGUAUGAAUGGUUGAAUGAGGUGAAUACUGUUUUAUAAUUAUUUAUUGAAUUUAGGUUUUAAGUAAAAAAACUUAAAUGUUAUUAAGGGACGAGAAGACCCUAUAGAGUUUAAUAAAUAUAAUAAUUAAUUAAGUUUUUGAAGGAAUUUUUAAUUAUUAUGAAAUUUAUUUAAUUGGGGUGAUUUAAAGAUAAAUAUAACUCUUUAUAAGUAUUAAUAUUUUAAUUAAUUUUUUGAUCCAUAAAUAAUGAUUAGAAGAUUUAAUUACCUUAGGGAUAACAGCAUAAUUUCUUUUAAGAGUUCAUAUCGAAAAAGAUGAUUAUGACCUCGAUG
This is a ribosomal RNA of 444 nucleotides. It matches the Rfam family "Bacterial large subunit ribosomal RNA", at positions 1827 to 2531 of the family's 2925-position model.